RNAcentral lists this ribosomal RNA (528 nucleotides) under Triticum aestivum (bread wheat). Its description in RNAcentral is "partial small subunit ribosomal RNA". Lineage: Eukaryota; Viridiplantae; Streptophyta; Magnoliopsida; Poales; Poaceae. The record is from RNAcentral.
AUGGACAAUCCAAAUGUUGUUGCCCAAGCUCCAUGCUCCGCUCCAAAAUUGCUCUUGUCAUCGCCGGUGGUGGGCUGGCGCUCCGUCCCCGCGUCGGCCAUUGUUGUUGCGGUAGGAGUUGCCGAGCAUCAUCAAGCCGUUGAUGUGUUGGUGUUGCCAGGCAUGUCGGUGCAGCGUGGCCGGUGCUGUGGAGGAAGUAGUGUUGCGCCCGUGGACGGUGGAUCUCUGCGGCGCCAGAGAUGCUUCCGCGCAGCACGCAUGGUGUUGCAUCCUCUUCAGAUCUCGGCGGGCGGCGGAGCUACAGUACGACACUUCGGUGGGCGGGGAGCUGCAUCGAAGCGCGGUGCAGCGGGUGUGGCGGAGCUGCGGUGCAGCGUUCAUGGUGAUGCGUCCGUCUCAUCGCCGGCGCAAGGCGGAGCUGCAGUGCAGCGCGUCGUGCUGCGACGGGUGGACCUCACCGGCGAUGGGAGCUGCAGUGCAGCGGACCUCACCGGUGCGGCGGAGCUGCAGUACAACGCGUCGUGCUGA